Molecule: ribosomal RNA, 830 nt
Filed under: uncultured archaeon
Lineage: Archaea
Description: bacterial SSU rRNA
Rfam family: Archaeal small subunit ribosomal RNA
Source: RNAcentral
AGGCCACUGCUAUCGGAGUUCGAUUAAGCCAUGCGAGUUGAGAGGUGCAAGACCUCGGCAUACUGCUCAGUAACACGUGGACAACCUACCCUAAGGAGGGGGAUAACCCCGGGAAACUGGGGAUAAUACCCCAUAGACUAUGGAUGCUGGAAUUCCUUGUAGUCGAAAGGUCCGCCGCCUUAGGAUGGGUCUGCGGCCGAUUAGGUUGUUGUUGGGGUAACGGCCCAACAAGCCUGUAAUCGGUGCGGGUUGUGGGAGCAAGAGCCCGGAGAUGGAUUCUGAGACACUAAUCCAGGCCCUACGGGGCGCAGCAGGCGCGAAAACUUUACAAUGCGGGAAACCGUGAUAAGGGAACUCCGAGUGCCCGUUAAAUCGGGCUGUCCACCAGUUUAAAUAACUGGUGAAGAAAGGGCCGGGCAAGACCGGUGCCAGCCGCCGCGGUAAUACCGGCGGCUCGAGUGGUGGCCACUAUUACUGGGCUUAAAGCGUUCGUAGCUGGUUUGUUAAGUCUCUGGGGAAAUCUACCGGCUUAACCGGUAGGCGUCUCAGGGAUACUGGCAGACUAGGGACCGGGAGAGGUGAGGGGUACUCCAGGGGUAGGAGUGAAAUCCUGUAAUCCUUGGGGGACCACCUGUGGCGAAGGCGCCUCACCAGAGCGGCUCCGACAGUGAGGGACGAAAGCUGGGGGAGCAAACCGGAUUAGAUACCCGGGUAGUCCCAGCUGUAAACGAUGCGCGUUAGGUGUAUCGGUGACCACGAGUCACCGAGGUGCCGAAGAGAAAUCGUGAAACGUGCCGCCUGGGAAGUACGGUCGCAAGGCUGAAACUUAA